GUUAUAGUAGCAGAGCACGGUCACUGCCGAAGGCCUAAACCCUUCUUACAGAGGUUCAAAUCCUCUCUCUAACU
Molecule: transfer RNA, 74 nt
Filed under: Scarus flavipectoralis (yellowfin parrotfish)
Lineage: Eukaryota; Metazoa; Chordata; Actinopteri; Labriformes; Labridae
Also listed under: 2 other names
Description: tRNA-Leu
Rfam family: tRNA
About the family: Transfer RNA (tRNA) molecules are approximately 80 nucleotides in length. Their secondary structure includes four short double-helical elements and three loops (D, anti-codon, and T loops).
Source: RNAcentral